AUUGAACGCUGGCGGCAAGCCUAAAACAUGCAAGUCGAACGAGUGGCGGACGGGUGAGUAAUGUUUGGGAUACUGCCUGAUGGAGGGGGAUAACUACUGGAAACGGUAGCUAAUACCGCAUACCAUCGGAUGUGCCCCGAUGGGAUUAGCUAGUAGGUGGGGUAAAGGCCCCCCUAGGCGACGAUCCCUAGCUGGUCUGAGAGGAUGACCAUCCACACUGGGACUGGGACACGGUCCAGACGCCUCCGGGAGGCAGCAGUGGGGAAUAUUGCACAAUGGGAGCAAGCCUGAUGCAGCCAUGCCGCGUGUAUGAAGAGGGCCUUCGGGUUGUAAAGGACUUUCAGCGGGGAGGCGUUACCCGCAGAAGAAGCACCGGCUAACUCCGUGCCAGCAGCCGCGGUAAUAC
Molecule: ribosomal RNA, 406 nt
Filed under: uncultured bacterium
Lineage: Bacteria
Description: partial 16S ribosomal RNA
Rfam family: Bacterial small subunit ribosomal RNA
Source: RNAcentral